UUGAUCCUGGCUCAGGAUGAACGCUAGCUACAGGCUUAACACAUGCAAGUCGAGGGGAAACGACAUCGAAAGCUUGCUUUUGAUGGGCGUCGACCGGCGCACGGGUGAGUAACGCGUAUCCAACCUGCCCACCACUUGGGGAUAACCUUGCGAAAGUAAGACUAAUACCCAAUGACGUCUCUAGAAGACAUCUGAAAGGGAUUAAAGAUUUAUCGGUGAUGGAUGGGGAUGCGUCUGAUUAGCUUGUUGGCGGGGUAACGGCCCACCAAGGCGACGAUCAGUAGGGGUUCUGAGAGGAAGGUCCCCCACAUUGGAACUGAGACACGGUCCAAACUCCUACGGGAGGCAGCAGUGAGGAAUAUUGGUCAAUGGACGAGAGUCUGAACCAGCCAAGUAGCGUGCAGGAUGACGGCCCUAUGGGUUGUAAACUGCUUUUAUAAGGGAAUAAAGUGAGUCUCGUGAGACUUUUUGCAUGUACCUUAUGAAUAAGGACCGGCUAAUUCCGUGCCAGCAGCCGCGGUAAUACGGAAGGUCCGGGCGUUAUCCGGAUUUAUUGGGUUUAAAGGGAGCGUAGGCCGGAGAUUAAGCGUGUUGUGAAAUGUAGACGCUCAACGUCUGCACUGCAGCGCGAACUGGUUUCCUUGAGUACGCACAAAGUGGGCGGAAUUCGUGGUGUAGCGGUGAAAUGCUUAGAUAUCACGAAGAACUCCGAUUGCGAAGGCAGCUCACUGGAGCGCAACUGACGCUGAAGCUCGAAAGUGUGGGUAGCAAACAGGAUUAGGUACCCUGGUAGUCCACACCGUAAACGAUGAUUACUAGGUGUUGGAGGAUUGACCCCUUCAGUGCCGCAGUUAACACAAUAAGUAAUCCACCUGGGGAGUACGACCGCAAGGUUGAAACUCAAAUGAAUUGACGGAAGGGCG
This 923-nucleotide ribosomal RNA is filed under the name uncultured bacterium. RNAcentral's name for it is "bacterial SSU rRNA". It matches the Rfam family "Bacterial small subunit ribosomal RNA", at positions 13 to 923 of the family's 1533-position model. The record is from RNAcentral.